GCGGGUGUAGCUCAGUGGGUUAGAGUGCCGGCCUGUCACGCCGGAGGUCGCGGGUUCGAGCCCCGUCACUCGCGCCA
This 77-nucleotide transfer RNA is filed under the name Rhizobium leguminosarum. RNAcentral's name for it is "tRNA-Asp". It matches the Rfam family "tRNA". From Rfam's summary of the family: Transfer RNA (tRNA) molecules are approximately 80 nucleotides in length. The record is from RNAcentral. Lineage: Bacteria; Pseudomonadati; Pseudomonadota; Alphaproteobacteria; Hyphomicrobiales; Rhizobiaceae.